GCAUACCUGCUAACUUUUGAAAAUGGCCAUGGGGGUUUUUGUGCGCGGCACCAUUUUUGAGGGUAGAAUUUUUCGCGGCAUUUUUUCGUGUGAUGAUUUGGCUCCUAAAAGUGUCUGACAUACUUCUUUUUUGGGGGGUGAUAGUUGAAGAUGCUAUUAUAACCUAUUUUUUUUUUAAAUUGUUUGAUUGUUGUAUUCUUUUUUGUUGAGAUAAACACCAGUAAGAUGACUUUAUGUUUGUCUGAUACAUUGUCAAGAAAUAAAAAAAAAGUAAUAAUUUUAAUAAUUUAAUAACAAAAAAACC
Molecule: long non-coding RNA, 304 nt
Filed under: Mytilus galloprovincialis (Mediterranean mussel)
Lineage: Eukaryota; Metazoa; Mollusca; Bivalvia; Mytilida; Mytilidae
Source: RNAcentral